Molecule: ribosomal RNA, 262 nt
Filed under: uncultured bacterium
Lineage: Bacteria
Description: partial 16S ribosomal RNA
Rfam family: Bacterial small subunit ribosomal RNA
Source: RNAcentral
GUCCACGCCGUAAACUAUGGGUGCUAGCCGUCUGCGAGCUUGCUCGUCGGUGGCGCAGCUAACGCAUUAAGCACCCCGCCUGGGGAGUACGGCCGCAAGGUUAAACUCAAAGGAAUUGACGGGGCCCGCACAAGCGGUGGAGCAUGUGGUUUAAUUCGACGCAACGCGAAGAACCUUACCAGCUCUUGACAUGGCAAGUCGGUUUCCAGAGAUGGACUCCUCCCAGCAAUGGGCUUGCACACAGGUGCUGCAUGGCUGUCGU